UGGGGAGUAUUGGACAAUGGGCGCAAGCCUGACCCAGCCACGCCGCGUGAGUGAUGAAGGCCUUCGGGUCGUAAAGCUCUGUGGGGAAGGACGAAAAAACAUUGGCUAAUAUCCAAUGGCUUGACGGUACUUCCUUAGCAAGCACCGGCUAACUCUGUGCCAGCAGCCGCGGUAAUACAGAGGGUGCAAACGUUGCUCGGAAUCAUUGGGCGUAAAGCGCACGUAGGCGGCCUGAUAAGUCGGUAGUGAAAGCCCUCGGCUUAACCGAGGAAGUGCUAUCGAAACUGCCAGGCUUGAGUACCGGAGAGGAUCGCGGAAUUCCCGGUGUAGAGGUGAAAUUCGUAGAUAUCGGGAGGAACACCAGUGGCGAAGGCGGCGAUCUGGACGGAUACUGACGCUGAGGUGCGAAAGCGUGGGGAGCAAACAGGAUUAGAUACCCCUGUAGUCCCUGAGCGGGCUGGCAAGGCGCAU
This 471-nucleotide ribosomal RNA is filed under the name uncultured bacterium. Its description in RNAcentral is "bacterial SSU rRNA". It matches the Rfam family "Bacterial small subunit ribosomal RNA", at positions 355 to 825 of the family's 1533-position model. The record is from RNAcentral.